GACGAACGCUGGCGGCGUACCUAAUACAUGCAAGUAGAACGCUGAAGGAGGAGCUUGCUUCUCUGGAUGAGUUGCGAACGGGUGAGUAACGCGUAGGUAACCUGCCUGGUAGCGGGGGAUAACUAUUGGAAACGAUAGCUAAUACCGCAUAAGAGUAGAUGUUGCAUGACAUUUGCUUAAAAGGUGCAAUUGCAUCACUACCAGAUGGACCUGCGUUGUAUUAGCUAGUUGGUGGGGUAACGGCUCACCAAGGCGACGAUACAUAGCCGACCUGAGAGGGGGAUCGGCCACACUGGGACUGGGACACGGCCCAGACUCCUACGGGAGGCAGCAGUAGGGAAUCUUCGGCAAUGGACGGAAGUCUGACCGAGCAACGCCGCGUGAGUGAAGAAGGUUUUCGGAUCGUAAAGCUCUGUUGUAAGAGAAGAACGAGUGUGAGAGUGGAAAGUUCACACUGUGACGGUAUCUUACCAGAAAGGGACGGCUAACUACGUG
RNAcentral lists this ribosomal RNA (495 nucleotides) under uncultured bacterium. Its description in RNAcentral is "partial 16S ribosomal RNA". It matches the Rfam family "Bacterial small subunit ribosomal RNA", at positions 28 to 507 of the family's 1533-position model. The record is from RNAcentral.